RNAcentral lists this non-coding RNA (141 nucleotides) under Actinomyces sp. RNAcentral describes it as "FMN sequence". It matches the Rfam family "FMN riboswitch aptamer (RFN element)". From Rfam's summary of the family: The RFN element is a highly conserved domain that is found frequently in the 5'-untranslated regions of prokaryotic mRNAs that encode for flavin mononucleotide (FMN) biosynthesis and transport proteins. Lineage: Bacteria; Bacillati; Actinomycetota; Actinomycetes; Actinomycetales; Actinomycetaceae. The record is from RNAcentral.
AACGUGCUCCGGGGUCGGUGCAAUUCCGAACCGGCGGUGACAGCCCGCGACCCGUGAGCGCCCCCCACCGGGGGGCGCGAGCGGCCGAGCCGGUGGAAUUCCGGCGCCGACGGUCAGAGUCCGGAUGGGAGGAGGCACGGG